GGGAUUAGCUAGUAGGUGGGGUAAUGGCUCACCUAGGCGACGAUCCCUAGCUGGUCUGAGAGGAUGACCAGCCACACUGGAACUGAGACACGGUCCAGACUCCUACGGGAGGCAGCAGUGGGGAAUAUUGCACAAUGGGCGCAAGCCUGAUGCAGCCAUGCCGCGUGUGUGAAGAAGGCCUUCGGGUUGUAAAGCACUUUCAGCGAGGAGGAAGGGUACAGUGUUAAUAGCACUGUGCAUUGACGUUACUCGCAGAAGAAGCACCGGCUAACUCCGUGCCAGCAGCCGCGGUAAUACGGAGGGUGCAAGCGUUAAUCGGAAUUACUGGGCGUAAAGCGCACGCAGGCGGUUUGUUAAGUCAGAUGUGAAAUCCCCGCGCUUAACGUGGGAACUGCAUUUGAAACUGGCAAGCUAGAGUCUUGUAGAGGGGGGUAGAAUUCCAGGUGUAGCGGUGAAAUGCGUAGAGAUCUGGAGGAAUACCGGUGGCGAAGGCGGCCCCCUGGACAAAGACUGACGCUCAGGUGCGAA
RNAcentral lists this ribosomal RNA (528 nucleotides) under Serratia liquefaciens. RNAcentral's name for it is "bacterial SSU rRNA". It matches the Rfam family "Bacterial small subunit ribosomal RNA", at positions 237 to 757 of the family's 1533-position model. The record is from RNAcentral. Lineage: Bacteria; Pseudomonadati; Pseudomonadota; Gammaproteobacteria; Enterobacterales; Yersiniaceae.